RNAcentral lists this ribosomal RNA (436 nucleotides) under Amanita codinae. RNAcentral's name for it is "LSU rRNA". It matches the Rfam family "Bacterial large subunit ribosomal RNA", at positions 1719 to 2102 of the family's 2925-position model. Lineage: Eukaryota; Fungi; Basidiomycota; Agaricomycetes; Agaricales; Amanitaceae. The record is from RNAcentral.
AAAUUAUCCUCAUAAGUUAGACGAAAAGAGGUACCAUUUAUAAAUUAAAUUCUUAAGACCUUCUAUCGAACUCAACCUUUGUUUUUGAUGGAGCUCUAAAUUUAUAGAUAAAUGGUGGCACAGAAUCGGAGGCCCCGACUGUUUACUAAAAACACAACACAGUGCAAUCAUUAAUAUGAUAGUAUACUGUGUGAAAUUUGCCCAAUGCCAUUAAUAUAAAAGCGGUCAUGGGAAACUGUGACUAAUUGAAAAUCUGGUUAAUAGCGGUCUUAACCAUGAGGAUCCUAAGGUAGCAAAAUAAAUUGGCCAUUAAAUGUGGUCCGGUAUCAAUAAUGUAACGAUGGCCUCACUGUCUCUACAACUUGCUCAGUGAAAUUGAAUUACGCGUGCAGAUGCGCGUUACCUCCAGGGGGACGGGAAGACCCUAUGCACUUCU